RNAcentral lists this long non-coding RNA (1172 nucleotides) under Zea mays. Its description in RNAcentral is "long non-coding RNA (ZMAY_LNC005263)". The record is from RNAcentral. Lineage: Eukaryota; Viridiplantae; Streptophyta; Magnoliopsida; Poales; Poaceae.
UUCAUUGAUUAUUAUAUAUCUUCUCUUUUCAUUAUCGUAACAUUAGGGAGAAAUAUUACAGACUCAGCUAGUUGAUGAAAGGAGGCAACACGAGGAGAUGGAGAAGAGAAUGGCAGAGAUGUUUUAGUACAUGUAGAGCCUUGGCGCCGCAUCCAGUUUUUCUCCUCCACCCUCGUUGUUCCCUGCAGCUGACCCUGCUCAGUUCCAUACUCAUGUAAGUAUCAAAAUUAUAGUACUACAUAAUAUAUAUUCAUCUCGUCUCACACAUGCAAUCUCUUCUAUGUGUAGAGAUAAUCGACGACAUCAAACAACCCUCAUGGAUCGCCUAGCCCAUCACCGAACAAGUCUAGCCGCCCACCUCGCUGAAAUACUUUGUGCACAUGAUCUUAUGUUUGUUGGUGUCGUUAAUACUUUGUGAGAUAACUUGUUCUGAACUUGUUGAUGUUGGUAAUGCUUUGUGAGAUACUUAAGACUUAUGUUUGUGAGUGUUGGAGACUUAUGUUUGUGUUCGAACUUGUUUGAUGUGGUGAUAUUUGUGGGAUUUAUGGUCUUUGUGAGAUAUGUGGUGUGUAUGAUGUAUGUGAUGAUUAUGUGAUGUAUAUGUGAUGGUUAUGUGAUAUAUCUUUUGUUUGUUUGGAUGGAAUAAUAAAAACAAAUAAAAAUGGGUAUUCUGAUCACUUUGUCGAGUGUUACACUCCGCAAGGAGGUAUUUUGCCGAGUGCCGUGACCACAUCACUCGGUAAUGAAGGUACACCUGGGAACCGAUAAAGCUUCUUUGCCGAGUGUCAAGACCAUAGUACUCAGCAGAGAAGCAACCUUUGCCGAGUGCCUCAUAAUGCACUCGGUAAAGAGACUGUCAAAGGGGCCCAAUGGUGCUCCCGUUGCCGAGGGCUAGUCCAGCUGGCACUCGAUAAAGACUGAGUCUUUGUCGAGUUCCUCCAAAUGCUUUUAGCAAAGGAACUAGCAAAGGGGCCCACUAGGGGCUUCGUUGCCGAGCACCAGUACAACAGACACUCGACAAAGAGGAAGCCUUUGCCGAGUGUCACGGGUGACACUCGACAAAGUCUCCGUCAUCGUCACUUGACAUCGUGACAGUGGCUUUUCUUUGCCGAGAACCAGGUGGCACUCGGCAAAGCAGUUAUGUCCAGAAGUAUAUGUCUAUAGAGGCAAAA